AGCGAACGCUGGCGGCAGGCCUAACACAUGCAAGUCGAACGAACCCUUCGGGGUUAGUGGCGGACGGGUGAGUAACACGUGGGAACGUACCUUUAGGUUCGGAACAACACAGGGAAACUUGUGCUAAUGCCGAAUGUGCCCUUCGGGGAAAGGAUUUAUCGCCUUUAGAGCGGCCCGCGUCUGAUUAGCUUGUUGGUGAGGUAAAGGCUCACCAAGGCUUCGAUCAGUAGCUGGUCUGAGAGGAUGAUCAGCCACACUGGGACUGAGACACGGCCCAGACUCCUACGGGAGGCAGCAGUGGGGAAUCUUGCGCAAUGGGCGAAAGCCUGACGCAGCCAUGCCGCGUGAAUGAUGAAGGUCUUAGGAUUGUAAAAUUCUUUCACCGGGGAAGAUAAUGACGGUACCCGGAGAAGAAGCCCCGGCUAACUUCGUGCCAGCAGCCGCGGUAAGGCACGACUGU
This 460-nucleotide ribosomal RNA is filed under the name uncultured bacterium. RNAcentral's name for it is "bacterial SSU rRNA". It matches the Rfam family "Bacterial small subunit ribosomal RNA", at positions 29 to 532 of the family's 1533-position model. The record is from RNAcentral.